AACGAACGCUGGCGGCAUGCCUAACACAUGCAAGUCGAACGAGACCUUCGGGUCUAGUGGCGCACGGGUGCGUAACGCGUGGGAACCUGCCCGUAGGUUCGGAAUAACUCCCCGAAAGGGGUGCUAAUACCGGAUAAUGUCUUCGGACCAAAGAUUUAUCGCCUUUGGAUGGGCCCGCGUUGGAUUAGCUAGUUGGUAGGGUAAAAGCCGACCAAGGCGACGAUCCAUAGCUGGUCUGAGAGGAUGCUCAGCCACACUGGGACUGAGACACGGCCCAGACUCCUACGGGAGGCAGCAGUGGGGAAUAUUGGACAAUGGGCGAAAGCCUGAUCCAGCAAUGCCGCGUGAGUGAUGAAGGCCUUAGGGUUGUAAAGCUCUUUUACCCGGGAUGAUAAUGACAGUACCGGGAGAAUAAGCUCCGGCUAACUCCGUG
RNAcentral lists this ribosomal RNA (433 nucleotides) under uncultured bacterium. Its description in RNAcentral is "partial 16S ribosomal RNA". It matches the Rfam family "Bacterial small subunit ribosomal RNA", at positions 29 to 507 of the family's 1533-position model. The record is from RNAcentral.